This 274-nucleotide ribosomal RNA is filed under the name uncultured bacterium. RNAcentral describes it as "partial 16S ribosomal RNA". It matches the Rfam family "Bacterial small subunit ribosomal RNA", at positions 523 to 796 of the family's 1533-position model. The record is from RNAcentral.
AUACGGAGGGUGCAAGCGUUAUCCGGAAUCAUUGGGUUUAAAGGGUCCGCAGGCGGAUUAAUAAGUCAGUGGUGAAAUCCUCUCGCUCAACGAGAGAACUGCCAUUGAAACUGUUAGUCUUGAAUUCGGUCGAAGUAGGCGGAAUGUGUCAUGUAGCGGUGAAAUGCAUAGAUAUGACACAGAGCACCGAUAGCGAAGGCAGCUUACUAGACCUGGAUUGACGCUCAUGGACGAAAGCGUGGGGAGCGAACAGGAUUAGAAACCCUAGUAGUCC